AUAUCAGUCAUGCAUAGCAUAUCAAUAAGCGGAGGAAAAGAAACUAACAAGGAUUCCCCUAGUAACGGCGAGUGAAGCGGGAAGAGCUCAAAUUUGAAAUCUUAAAAGGUUUUCCUUUUACGAAUUGUAGUUUAAAGAAGUGUUUUCUGUUGAAAUUUUAGUAAAAGUUCUUUGGAAUAGGACAUCAUAGAGGGUGAGAAUCCCGUAUUUGACUAGAAUUUUUUAACUUUGUGAUACACUUUCAAAGAGUCGGAUUGUUUGGGAAUGCAGUCCAAAAUGGGUGGUAAAUUUCAUCUAAAGCUAAAUAUUGGCGAGAGACCGAUAGCGAACAAGUACCGUGAGGGAAAGAUGAAAAGAACUUUGAAAAGAGAGUUAAAUAGUACGUGAAAUUGUCAAAAGGGAAGCGUUUGGCACCAGUGUUGUUUUUCUAAAAAUCAAUUUAAAAUUUGCUUAUGCUAAGUUUUUUAGACUUAAUCGGCUAAUAAUUUAGUUUUUUGUAAUUUUUGAAUGCACUUUUUAGUUAACAAGUCAACAUCAAUUUCUUUUGUUGUAAAAGAAUAAGAGGAAGGUGGCUUGGGAUUCGUUUACAAGUGUUUAUAGCCUUUUAUUUCUGCAAUAGGAGGGAUUGAGGUCUGCAGCAUAGAUCCUUCGGGGCUAGAUGCAUUUUCGCUAAGAGUCAGUAUUAUAUAAACAACUUGUUGAUUAUGUAGUAUGUUGAUUUUUACUCGGGAGUGUUAUUUUACCUACGCUUAGGAUGUUGAUCUACAGAGCGAGAGU
This 777-nucleotide ribosomal RNA is filed under the name uncultured Neocallimastigales. RNAcentral's name for it is "partial large subunit ribosomal RNA". It matches the Rfam family "Eukaryotic large subunit ribosomal RNA", at positions 22 to 634 of the family's 3401-position model. The record is from RNAcentral. Lineage: Eukaryota; Fungi; Neocallimastigomycota; Neocallimastigomycetes; Neocallimastigales.